AUUGAACGCUGGCGGCAGGCUUAACACAUGCAAGUCGAACGGUAACAGAAGAAAAGCUUGCUUUUCUUGCUGACGAGUGGCGGACGGGUGAGUAAUGCUUGGGAAUCUGCCUUAUGGAGGGGGAUAACUACGGGAAACUGUAGCUAAUACCGCGUAAUGUCUUCGGAUUAAAGUGUGGGACCUUCGGGCCACAUGCCAUAAGAUGAGCCCAAGUGAGAUUAGGUAGUUGGUGAGGUAAAGGCUCACCAAGCUGACGAUCUCUAGCUGGUUUGAGAGGAUGACCAGCCACACUGGAACUGAGACACGGUCCAGACUCCUACGGGAGGCAGCAGUGGGGAAUAUUGCACAAUGGGCGCAAGCCUGAUGCAGCCAUGCCGCGUGAAUGAAGAAGGCUUUCGGGUUGUAAAGUUCUUUCAGCGAUGAGGAAGGUGCAUUAUCUAAUAGGUGAUGUAAUUGACGUUAGUCGCAGAAGAAGCACCGGCUAACUCCGUGCCAGCAGCCGCGGUAAUACGGAGGGUGCGAGCGUUAAUCGGAAUAACUGGGCGUAAAGGGCACGCAGGCGGUUGUCUAAGUCAGAUGUGAAAGCCCCGAGCUUAACUUGGGAAUUGCAUUUGAGACUGGGCGACUAGAGUCCUCUAGGGAGGGGUAGAAUUCCACGUGUAGCGGUGAAAUGCGUAGAGAUGUGGAGGAAUACCGAAGGCGAAGGCAGCCCCUUGGAGAGAGACUGACGCUGAGGUGCGAAAGCGUGGGUAGCAAACAGG
Molecule: ribosomal RNA, 761 nt
Filed under: uncultured bacterium
Lineage: Bacteria
Description: bacterial SSU rRNA
Rfam family: Bacterial small subunit ribosomal RNA
Source: RNAcentral